Molecule: ribosomal RNA, 324 nt
Filed under: uncultured eukaryote
Lineage: Eukaryota
Description: partial 18S ribosomal RNA
Rfam family: Eukaryotic small subunit ribosomal RNA
Source: RNAcentral
CCCUUAGAUGUCCUGGGCUGCACGCGCGCUACACUGAUGUGUCCAGUAAGCACGUAACCUCUUCCGAAAGGAACGGGUAACCUUUGCAAAGCACAUCGUGAUGGGGAUAGAUUAUUGCAAUUAUUAGUCUUGAACGAGGAAUUCCUAGUAAGCACAAGUCAUCAGCUUGUGUUGAUUACGUCCCUGCCCUUUGUACACACCGCCCGUCGCUCCUACCGAUUGAAUGUUCCGGUGAGCUCUUCGGACUGCGCGGUCUGCAGUUUCUGCGUUCCGUGCGGAAAGUUGCGCAAACCUUAACAUUUAGAGGAAGGAGAAGUCGUAACA